Long non-coding RNA from Hemicordylus capensis (graceful crag lizard), 316 nucleotides. RefSeq lists it as uncharacterized. The record is from RefSeq and is a predicted model, not a curated record. The transcript has 2 exons. Lineage: Eukaryota; Metazoa; Chordata; Lepidosauria; Squamata; Cordylidae.
UGACAUUGUUAGAAACAUCUCCAUCACUCUGUAGAAUCCAUCAACUGGAAGUGGAAUGCAAUGAACACUUGCUUUAAACUAAAGGACUUCAGAUCCAAAAGGAUUCCAGCCUCCCAUGAGUGCUUUUCCUUGAUAAAGAGACCACACCUCAUCCACAAACUGUUAUGGAGCUGUGGAUUUUCUGAGGGCAGAUCACACAGCAAGUGAAGCUUCUAGGACUUUCAGCAAAAGGCCAGCUCUUCGAAGCAUAAUCUGAGGACUCUGGAAUUUCUAAUUUCAGCCACUAAUGUAACAUAAUAAACUCUAUUUUAGUUGA